CUGUGCUCUUAAUGGUUCCCAUUCUAUUACUCCUGUCCUUUCUCUCCCGUCAAACUCACCAGUUUAUGUCCUUCCUCCCCCCUGACAGUGUAGGAUGGAUUCAGAAGUAUUCGUUUCUGUGUUCCCUACCCUUGUUGGAGUCUGGCAACAGAACGACAUCGGGGUGUGCUUUUGUUAAAUCUGUGGGCAUUAAAAUGGCAUUGCUGUCUCUCACCUGGAUUUCAUCUCACGUCCUCUCUCUGGCCGUAGCCUCAGACCUCCGUGGCAGCCCUGACUAUGAAGUCUUGGCCAUGUCACGUAACCUUUCUGCAUUCUGCUGCUGAGUAUAAAGAAAGCAUUUGGAACACCUUUCUCGUUUCUAUUUCACGAGAUGGGUAGGAUCAAAUGAGACGACGUGAGUUUGGAAGGGCUACAUGCUUAGACACCUCCCGUGCUCGGCUCAGUUGGCUAGCAACAGCUUAAAGGACAGCGCCUCUCAGCAUAGGAAGCAGCAAUCAUCCGCACCUGUUGCCAAUUAAAGCAUUAAUGGCCCAUCAAUCAAGGAGAAAUCACUGGGAAUGGAGAUGACACAGGCUCUGUGCUCCUGUCAGUUUUUUGGAAGACAUCCUCUGCUUCAAG
This 618-nucleotide long non-coding RNA is filed under the name Mus musculus (house mouse). Its description in RNAcentral is "predicted gene 42707". Lineage: Eukaryota; Metazoa; Chordata; Mammalia; Rodentia; Muridae. The record is from RNAcentral.